This is a long non-coding RNA of Pseudoliparis swirei, 2094 nucleotides long. RefSeq lists it as uncharacterized. Lineage: Eukaryota; Metazoa; Chordata; Actinopteri; Perciformes; Liparidae. The transcript has 2 exons. The record is from RefSeq and is a predicted model, not a curated record.
CACACUCCUCUUUUUUUGCUUUUACACUUUAUCCAAUGAAAUGAUUUAUUUGAUUUGCUGCCUUCCUGGCAGCACACUGUUUCAUUUAUUUUGAAUUUCAUGAAGAAAGAAAAAAAUACAUUGGGCCUUUUUAGAGUUUUGCUUUGAAUAAAAUGUUCACAUUAACCCUGUGCAGUGCCCGUUCGGAAAUGGACACUUUCUUGUCUCCCUGUUAGUGCUGCUUGCAGCGAUGACGUCAGGGGACGUGUCCGUUAAGGGGGUGUAUUUCUUGGUCUUUCCUCGGAUUGGUUGCUUGCAGCGUCAUCAAGAACCAGUUAUCACUUGUUGACUUUCAGGAAGGGAAGAUGAGUUUGUGUGUAACGUUAAAACAUCCUGCAGCAAAACUGAAGGCCAGUCAAUGAGCCGCGGGGCCUAGAAGGUCUGCUGCGGACGACGUGCUGGAUUCAGUCUGCGAAGCCCCGCCCCCGCUGCUGCACAGAAAUGUAAUCCAUGCAUGUCCACCUUAAGAUAUUUUUAUUUAUUCUGCUGUUUAUUAGAUCUUUAUAUUACACUGGAUUUACAGCAUUUUUUCUCAAAUCACGGUUCCAUAAUUUCUUAUGUAUCCUUGCUUGAGUAAUUUAUGAAGUACAAUGCAGAAUAUUCUCUGCAUUCGCAGCUUCUGUCUGUGUUGUAUGUUCUGUCAGUUUUAGUGUGGUAGAUUGCUUUUAAAACUACGAUACUCAUGAGCCUCAGCCCCUGUUGCUAUGGAGAAUAGCGAUGGGAUAGCUCUUGCACAUUCAGAACACUUCAUCUAACAUGGACCAAGAAUGUGAAAUUGCAAAGUACUGAAUGUUUUAUCAGGUUUCUACAAAGUGUACGCAUUACUUUAAACUUUUCUUUUCGAGACACAAGUAACAUAAUAUUGAGUUAUUCUGUGAUUGGAUGUUUUUCACAAAAAUUGACCUAGUUUGAUUUCUCCUUUGUCUGCAGGGUGGCCGCGGGUCCUUAAAAAGUCUUAAAUCGCUUUUCCUAAAAAUAAGGCCUUAAAAAUUCUUAAAUUGUCUUAAAUUCCGAUUGGAUUGGUCUUCUUUUUUUUGUGGUGUCAUGUCACUGUGAAUAUGAGGCAAUCUGUUCCGCCAGGUCUAAUAUUUUGUUCCGGUUGGCUCUGCGGUGUCUCUGGUGUGUCACCAGGUCCACGCCCCUUCUCUUAAAGGGGCCCCGCGUCUUCGGUCCUAUCCCCUACAACGUGAAGCAUCGGCUAGUUUAGAAAACAUGGUGCGAUGCAAGUUCAAUACUAAAUGGCUAGAAGAGAACGAAAAUUUCUGGCUACGGUGGGUGAAAUGCUUCUGAAGAGAGCUGCGUUAUGUGUCGGGAGUCUUUCCAGCGGUGGAAUCUCACGUGCAAGGCAAGAAGCACAGAGACUCGCGAAGGCCGCCUGCUGCCCGCCGUGGCUAGUUUCUGCUCCACCGCUAGCAACGACGUCAACGCUACAACGCUGGAGGUCACCAGAGGAAAUCCAGCGGCGUGUAUAAAAAGAGCUCAUCAACAAUGCGGUGCGUUCUUCAUUCUGUUCUACGAGACACUGAACCAGACCACCGAGAGCAGACAACUGGACUUCAUGUGCGUUAUUGGUUAAAUGACCACGUCCAGUCAGGAUUCUAUGGAGCACAGCUCAUGGGCCAUGACACCGCCCAGGACCAACUUCAGCAUCUCAAAGAGUGUGCAGCUUGACCUCAUACAUGUGAUUUAUAUCUCAAUGGACCAAAUGUCAACUGGAAGUUUAUUUAUUCAUACAGUUUAAAAAGGAUUGUUUUCCUAGUAUCUUCUCAAAAGCUCAGGAGUAGACAUAUAAACUAGUGCACAGAAAUCCAUCACAUAGAGACAUGAGAACUCACUCAAUCACUCACACACACAUACAUUCUAUUAUGUAAAUGUAAUUGCAUUUUAAAAGCAGCUGGAAUUGUUAUUUAUGUUAUUUUAUAGAUUUUCUUUGUUCAAAAGGAGCUAUGUUGCUCGUAUAUUUGUAAAUAUAUUUACUUGAUAUUAGAAGCAUUUGUUCAUGGGACCUAAAUGUUCUGAAAAUAUUGUAUUAAUAAAUAUAAUUUACAACAGCAA